AUUGAACGCUGGCGGCAUGCUUUACACAUGCAAGUCGAACGGCAGCGCGGGCUUCGGCCUGGCGGCGAGUGGCGAACGGGUGAGUAAUGCAUCGGAACGUGCCCAGUAGUGGGGGAUAGCCCGGCGAAAGCCGGAUUAAUACCGCAUACGACCUGAGGGUGAAAGCGGGGGACCGAAAGGCCUCGCGCUAUUGGAGCGGCCGAUGUCGGAUUAGCUAGUUGGUGGGGUAAAGGCUUACCAAGGCGACGAUCCGUAGCUGGUCUGAGAGGACGACCAGCCACACUGGGACUGAGACACGGCCCAGACUCCUACGGGAGGCAGCAGUGGGGAAUUUUGGACAAUGGGGGCAACCCUGAUCCAGCCAUGCCGCGUGCGGGAAGAAGGCCUUCGGGUUUUAAACCGCUUUUGCUCGGGAAGAAAUCCUCUGGGCUAAUACCCCGGGGGGAUGACGGUACCGGAAGAAUAAGCACCGGCUAACUACGUG
Molecule: ribosomal RNA, 484 nt
Filed under: uncultured bacterium
Lineage: Bacteria
Description: partial 16S ribosomal RNA
Rfam family: Bacterial small subunit ribosomal RNA
Source: RNAcentral